Molecule: ribosomal RNA, 1540 nt
Filed under: Enterobacter asburiae
Lineage: Bacteria; Pseudomonadati; Pseudomonadota; Gammaproteobacteria; Enterobacterales; Enterobacteriaceae
Description: bacterial SSU rRNA
Rfam family: Bacterial small subunit ribosomal RNA
Source: RNAcentral
AAAUUGAAGAGUUUGAUCAUGGCUCAGAUUGAACGCUGGCGGCAGGCCUAACACAUGCAAGUCGAGCGGUAGCACAGAGAGCUUGCUCUCGGGUGACGAGCGGCGGACGGGUGAGUAAUGUCUGGGAAACUGCCUGAUGGAGGGGGAUAACUACUGGAAACGGUAGCUAAUACCGCAUAACGUCGCAAGACCAAAGAGGGGGACCUUCGGGCCUCUUGCCAUCAGAUGUGCCCAGAUGGGAUUAGCUAGUAGGUGGGGUAACGGCUCACCUAGGCGACGAUCCCUAGCUGGUCUGAGAGGAUGACCAGCCACACUGGAACUGAGACACGGUCCAGACUCCUACGGGAGGCAGCAGUGGGGAAUAUUGCACAAUGGGCGCAAGCCUGAUGCAGCCAUGCCGCGUGUAUGAAGAAGGCCUUCGGGUUGUAAAGUACUUUCAGCGGGGAGGAAGGCGAUAAGGUUAAUAACCUUGUCGAUUGACGUUACCCGCAGAAGAAGCACCGGCUAACUCCGUGCCAGCAGCCGCGGUAAUACGGAGGGUGCAAGCGUUAAUCGGAAUUACUGGGCGUAAAGCGCACGCAGGCGGUCUGUCAAGUCGGAUGUGAAAUCCCCGGGCUCAACCUGGGAACUGCAUUCGAAACUGGCAGGCUAGAGUCUUGUAGAGGGGGGUAGAAUUCCAGGUGUAGCGGUGAAAUGCGUAGAGAUCUGGAGGAAUACCGGUGGCGAAGGCGGCCCCCUGGACAAAGACUGACGCUCAGGUGCGAAAGCGUGGGGAGCAAACAGGAUUAGAUACCCUGGUAGUCCACGCCGUAAACGAUGUCGACUUGGAGGUUGUGCCCUUGAGGCGUGGCUUCCGGAGCUAACGCGUUAAGUCGACCGCCUGGGGAGUACGGCCGCAAGGUUAAAACUCAAAUGAAUUGACGGGGGCCCGCACAAGCGGUGGAGCAUGUGGUUUAAUUCGAUGCAACGCGAAGAACCUUACCUACUCUUGACAUCCAGAGAACUUAGCAGAGAUGCUUUGGUGCCUUCGGGAACUCUGAGACAGGUGCUGCAUGGCUGUCGUCAGCUCGUGUUGUGAAAUGUUGGGUUAAGUCCCGCAACGAGCGCAACCCUUAUCCUUUGUUGCCAGCGGUCCGGCCGGGAACUCAAAGGAGACUGCCAGUGAUAAACUGGAGGAAGGUGGGGAUGACGUCAAGUCAUCAUGGCCCUUACGAGUAGGGCUACACACGUGCUACAAUGGCGCAUACAAAGAGAAGCGACCUCGCGAGAGCAAGCGGACCUCAUAAAGUGCGUCGUAGUCCGGAUUGGAGUCUGCAACUCGACUCCAUGAAGUCGGAAUCGCUAGUAAUCGUAGAUCAGAAUGCUACGGUGAAUACGUUCCCGGGCCUUGUACACACCGCCCGUCACACCAUGGGAGUGGGUUGCAAAAGAAGUAGGUAGCUUAACCUUCGGGAGGGCGCUUACCACUUUGUGAUUCAUGACUGGGGUGAAGUCGUAACAAGGUAACCGUAGGGGAACCUGCGGUUGGAUCACCUCCUUA